Molecule: long non-coding RNA, 481 nt
Organism: Homo sapiens (human)
Lineage: Eukaryota; Metazoa; Chordata; Mammalia; Primates; Hominidae
Exons: 3
Source: RefSeq, a predicted model, not a curated record
UAUGUCAGAGAAAGGAUGAUCUGCUUCAGGUGAUCCUGGAUCACAGAGCCAUGACCAUCUUGAUGGUUGGAUGUCAGGAGCAGAAUAUGUCAAUGACUAGCAGACAGGAAAUAUUUUCAUGCCAUCCAUAGAACAAUAAAGGAAGCCAAAUGAAACCUCUGCGCCUCGCUCCCUGAAUCCAAGCAGCGAUGCCGCUACCCCGUGUUAAGGAUCCGUUUCUGAUUUAGAAGGGCCUAGACAUAAGCUCAUGAAGCCGAGCAUCCAAAAGCAAAACUCAACAUCAAACAUGUCUCGAACUAUGACGUGUACUUUCCAAUUUACCCUCGGAGUGGGAAUACUUCUGUCAUCUGUAUAGCAUUUAAAGGAAAAAUGCCCAUUAAGGAGGAGAAGGGGCUCCCCUUGCUCCUUCUGUCCGUCCUCUGUCAGAAUAAGAACUUCAGGCCAUGCGCGGUGGCUCAUGCCUACAAUCCCAGCACUUCAG